UACGAAGGGGGCUAGCGUUGCUCGGAAUGACUGGGCGUAAAGGGCGCGUAGGCGGCCUGGCAAGUGGAAGGUGAAAUCCCUCGGCUUAACCGAGGAACUGCCCUCCAAACUGCUUGGCUUGAGUCCGGGAGAGGUGAGUGGAAUUCCCAGUGUAGCGGUGAAAUGCGUAGAUAUUGGGAGGAACACCAGUGGCGAAGGCGGCUCACUGGACCGGAACUGACGCUGAGGCGCGAAAGCGUGGGGAGCAAACGGG
RNAcentral lists this ribosomal RNA (253 nucleotides) under uncultured bacterium. RNAcentral describes it as "partial 16S ribosomal RNA". It matches the Rfam family "Bacterial small subunit ribosomal RNA", at positions 524 to 776 of the family's 1533-position model. The record is from RNAcentral.